RNAcentral lists this transfer RNA (73 nucleotides) under Streptococcus agalactiae. Its description in RNAcentral is "tRNA-Ala". It matches the Rfam family "tRNA". From Rfam's summary of the family: Transfer RNA (tRNA) molecules are approximately 80 nucleotides in length. Their secondary structure includes four short double-helical elements and three loops (D, anti-codon, and T loops). Further hydrogen bonds mediate the characteristic L-shaped molecular structure. tRNAs have two regions of fundamental functional importance: the anti-codon, which is responsible for specific mRNA codon recognition, and the 3' end, to which the tRNAs corresponding amino acid is attached (by aminoacyl-tRNA synthetases). tRNAs cope with the degeneracy of the genetic code in two manners: having more than one tRNA (with a specific anti-codon) for a particular amino acid; and 'wobble' base-pairing, i.e. permitting non-standard base-pairing at the 3rd anti-codon position. Lineage: Bacteria; Bacillati; Bacillota; Bacilli; Lactobacillales; Streptococcaceae. RNAcentral also lists the same sequence under 3 other names. The record is from RNAcentral.
GGGGCCUUAGCUCAGCUGGGAGAGCGUCUGCUUUGCACGCAGGAGGUCAGCGGUUCGAUCCCGCUAGGCUCCA